Molecule: ribosomal RNA, 381 nt
Filed under: uncultured bacterium
Lineage: Bacteria
Description: bacterial SSU rRNA
Rfam family: Bacterial small subunit ribosomal RNA
Source: RNAcentral
GUAGUCCACGCCAUAAACGAUGUGUGCUAGCUGUUGGGGCUCUUAGAGCUUCGAUGGCGCAGCUAACGCCUUAAGCACACCGCCUGGGGAGUACGGUCGCAAGAUUAAAACUCAAAGGAAUUGACGGGGACCCGCACAAGCGGUGGAGCAUGUUGUUUAAUUCGAAGCAACGCGAAGAACCUUACCUACGCUUGCCAUCCUGGUUGAGGCUUUUGGAGACAAGAGCCGUCAUUUAGUUGGACCAGUGACAGGUGCUGCAUGGCUGUCGUCAGCUCGUGUCGUGAGAUGUUGGGUUAAGUCCCGCAACGAGCGCAACCCUUGUCGUAUGUUGCCAUCAGGUAAUGCUGGGCACUCGUGCGAGACCGCCGGUGAUAAGCCGGA